This 23-nucleotide non-coding RNA is filed under the name Arabidopsis thaliana (thale cress). The record is from RNAcentral. Lineage: Eukaryota; Viridiplantae; Streptophyta; Magnoliopsida; Brassicales; Brassicaceae.
UAAUACGAUGAUGGAUACCCGAA